This is a long non-coding RNA of Peromyscus californicus insignis, 3369 nucleotides long. RefSeq lists it as uncharacterized. The transcript is spliced from 3 exons. The record is from RefSeq and is a predicted model, not a curated record. NCBI's taxonomy places the organism in Eukaryota, Metazoa, Chordata, Mammalia, Rodentia, Cricetidae.
CACACAUUUCAAUUAGUAUUACUUCAGUGGGACUGCAAAAUAUGCUUAAACCCAUCUUACCUGUCUUCAGGAUUACCUACAUUCAUUUAAGGAGGUGUCUAUCCCAAAUCUCGACUCGCCAAAUCAAUAGUGAUUAUUACAAAUUAAAAAUAAAACAUUAUUUGGAAGAUGACAAUUCAAAUGUAAAGCCACCAAGAAAGUCUCAGCAAUAUUAGAGGUGACCUGACAUGAUUAUUCCCUUUAAUGAUCAGGGUGGAAAAGGAAUAUGUUCUGGCACUCCCCCCCCCCACAAAGUAAGUCUUCUAAAUCCAGGUAAAAUACCCAUCACUGAUUGCCAAAAACCCCAAACAGGAAGCACUUUGCAUUUUUAGGUAUAUUCUGUCUAUUUAAAAAAUGUGUUUUUCAGUGGCAUAACCAAAUUCAUCUAGGGUUUCACCUAGUAUGAAAACUCAAGAGCUUAAUGAGUGGAAAACUGACUGAAUACUGACACACUGUGUUUCAGUACACUUGACCUUAAGAGAUGUGAAGUUUCACGAGUAACGAUGUUGGGAAUGAUUCAGGUGAAUGACUGUAUCUUUAUGUGCCACAUGGUGCUUAUGAUGACAAGCGGUUUGGACUUAAUCAUAACCCAUCUCCAAAAUGAAGUCAUGGAUGUGUGCACAAAACCGGAGCCCAAGCAAAGUAAAGCAAACCAAAAUAAAUAAAAUCACAUCAGUGAAUAAAAUAUUUCUGGCAUGUGACUGUUAUUCAAUCUGUGAGAGUAAUUAGAAGACAUUGGUGUCACAAAUAACCCAAAUAAGCAAGAAAUAAUGACACAAAACGACUGGGUUCAGUUACUUUAAUCCCAUAUUGUCUUCCAUGAAAUAAUCUCGUCCAUAUCCACAAAAGCAAUGAGACUAUCAAAGUUGCAGUAUGUAUAUAAAAUAGGCUGAAGCUAAAGACUGCACCGGGAGUUAGGAAACAUGACGGUUUAUUAGUCAGAAAUGCCCUAAAAAUGUAACCUCAUCACGCUUGCUACAGCAGCCUUCCCUUUCCUCCUCCACGUUUUUGCAAAUUUGGACACAUUAUUAGUCACUUCACCGAACUCCAGCGUUUGACAGAAAAGGCAGGCUUGUUCACCCUUCUGGCAACUUUAAUAGGAGAUUCUCAGAACCUCGGAGUUGGAGAGAAAAGUACUGAAACCCGCCUCACCUUCGACCCAAACUGUUCUCAAGCCUUUGCACUAGCCUGGAAUAGAGGCGGGCCGGCAAGAGAACACUGUUACGUUACAGGCAAACAAGUUGGGCGAAUGUAAACAAAGAAUGACAAAAGAAAGCCAGACCAGCACUAAAACACCCUCCUCCAGCUCAACUCACGCUUGACAUUCAAGAAAGCUAUCAAAGCAAUCCGUGAUGCGUCUCCCCGCGGAACUGGGGCCCGAAUGCCCCCACGCGGGACCGCCCUGGCUCGCCCACCGCCUGCUGGUGGUACGUGGAGCCUAGCUGCGGCUGCCGGGGACUUUUGAGCCCAGAUCACUGGCUGCAGCGCCCGCUCCAGUGUCCUGACUCGGGCUGUUCCUCCGGUAGCAGGAGAAGACGCACCGGCGUUUGGGUCACGGGAAGGGCUGGGGGGGGGGGGGGGUACCCAGCACCCCUAACUCCUCCAUCAGUCACCUACCCACAAGUCCCACCUAGGAGAAGUAGGAGGUGGAGGAGGAGGAGGAGGAAGCUGCUUGGCAGAAGGCAGUUCUCUGGGGAGCGGGGCGAAGAUGCAGGACCACCUCACCGCGGGGGUGCUCGGAUGACAAGAGAGAUUUGGCUGCUUCUUGUCUCAUCUGAUAAGCUGACUAUUGUCAGGCAGAUGUCUUCAUUAAGUCUGUGUAGGAAGACGAGAGCAUCAAAGGGAAGGAGCACGCGUUUUCCUUCUGGAACUCUGCAUAGGAAUCACGUAUUUCGUAGUAUGAUCUAUGAGUAAGGUCAGAAGACAGCCUUGGAUGGUAGUCUCCAUCUCUCACUUUGUUGAAGACAGUGUCUCAUCGUUUGCUGCCUCACGUGGUGGCUGACUGGCUGGUUGGCUUCUGGGUGCUCUCCGGUCUCCACCUCCCAUCUCUCCACACAGGCACUGGGAUUACAGAUGAACAUUUCCAUGCCUCCCUUUAACCCAAGGUUCUGGGGCUGGGAGCUCAGGUGUGCAAGGGCUUUACCCACUGAGCCAUCUCCCCAGCCUGAACUAAGUUUAUUUUGACUGUUUUACUUGGAAUGUGCUGUGUUUGAACAGACUCUAAAUUAGCCUAGAUCUCUUGUUCCACCAAACCUGAUGACCCAAGUAUCUCCUGGGAACCAUCUGAUGGAAGGCGAGAGCCAGCUCCAGUAAAGUGUCCUCUGAUCUCCACAAGUGUGUCAAGUGAGUGUCCAUAUUACACACGUACCUGUGUACACACUAAAUAAAUGAAUACAAACAAAAAGGAAAAAAAGUGAACUUGAUAAGUUACCAAAACAUGUUUUAAAAAAUGGAGAAAUAAGGAGGCCUGUCUUCAAGGGCAUUGGGAAGAUUUAAACACUGACUAAUGGUAAGUGUUUAGGGCAGUUAGGAUGAUACUUUAUUAGUGGUAAUUUGGAAUAUCCAUGUAGCUUCUGUCCCAAAUUGAGCCAUUGGGUUAUGUUGGCUUAUGUCUUCCUCCUCCAUGGUCUAUGGUUCACUCUCAGAGGAGUCCAGUCACUGGUAAAAUCCCUCAGACUUUAACUUGAAUUAGCAAGGCUGCUGAAGAUGUAGACAGUAAGGCCUCCUGAUUAGGGAUUCCGCUUCAAUAGCCUGAUGUGAUGUCCCCUAAUUUGCAUUUCUAAUACUUACCUGGGACGGGGCUACAGUUGCUUUGGAAACCACAUGCUCCUGUAGCUUCCUGAGAGCGCUUCUAAAAGAAGAAACUUGGGCCCAUCUUGCUCCGGACGUCCCUUUUGGAACAAUCGUGAGUACCCUUCCUUGCCCCAGACCCCAUCCCUGGGCACCAGCCACUCCAGGGAAGACCUGCCCAACUCGGCCCCAGGUUCUGGCCACCGGGCAGGUUCCCUGCUAGCCCCACCGGGAAGGAUCCCCUUCUCCAAGACCCCUGGCAGACCCUGCAGUCUCCACGCCCUGCCACCACACCCAUCCGCCUGAGCCCCAAGCCUCUUCCUGAGACUUAGAGGCCGGCCCCCAGCUCCCAUCUUGCUCCGGACUUCCCUUUUGGAACACUGACUUCCCUUUUGGAACACUGGUCUGUCUGAACCAAGUGUGCGGAUAAGGCCAAGAACGAACCACAAGGAGAUGGGCAGACGUCAAGGCAGAAACAUAUACAACAAAAUGAAUAGCAAUACAGCAUCACCAGGCCCUAGCCCUCCUCCAACACCUAGA